AUGCCGGAAGACAUGCAAGUGAACGAGUUUCUUGAUCAUCGAUGGGCGGGACCGACAAAUGUGGCUGGUUCAAGUAGGAGGGAGCUUACACCGGCAUUCUCAGGAGGCGUGAAGCAGCUGCUAGGUGCGCCCAAGCACUGGAAAGGCAAGGAAUCAUCAACCAUGGUUUCCCUUGUGCCACAAAUGAAACAAAAAAAAAUCCAUAAAUACUUCUGUUGCAAAGGGACUGUAUCUACAUUAGUAUAUGUGCAGAUGACUAUUUCCUUAUAUCGCAUCAUAUCAACUCAAUCCAAUAAUUUCAAAUCCAAAUGA
Molecule: ribosomal RNA, 312 nt
Filed under: Triticum aestivum (bread wheat)
Lineage: Eukaryota; Viridiplantae; Streptophyta; Magnoliopsida; Poales; Poaceae
Description: partial small subunit ribosomal RNA
Source: RNAcentral